RNAcentral lists this ribosomal RNA (492 nucleotides) under uncultured bacterium. RNAcentral's name for it is "partial 16S ribosomal RNA". It matches the Rfam family "Bacterial small subunit ribosomal RNA", at positions 28 to 507 of the family's 1533-position model. The record is from RNAcentral.
GAUGAACGCUAGCUACAGGCUUAACACAUGCAAGUCGAGGGGAAACGGCAUUAAGUGCUUGCACUCUUUGGACGUCGACCGGCGCACGGGAGAGUAACGCGUAUCCCACCUUCCCAUGACUAAUUGAUAACCUGCCGAAUGGCAGACUAAUACCUCUUGUUCUUCACUGACGGCAUUAGAUGUUAAGUACAGUUGUAUCUGUUAUGGAUGGGGAUGCGGCUGAUUAGCUUGUUGGCGGGGUAACGGCCCAUCAAGGCGACGAUUAGUAGGGGUUCGGAGGGGAAGGGCCCUCACAUUGGAACUGGGCAACGGGCCAAAGUCCUACGGGAGGCAGCAGUGAGGAAUGUUGGUGAAUGGGAGAGUGCCUGAACCAGCCAAGUAGCGUGCAGGAUGGCGGCGCUAUGGAUUGUAGACUGCUUUUGGAUGGGGGUAAUGGCAAGCACGUGAGAUUGAUUGCAGGUACCAUACGAAGAAGGACCGGCUAAUUCCGUG